UUUGCGGCGACCAUAGCCAAGGUGAGACGCCCGGUCCCAUUCCGAACCCGGAAGCUAAGGCCUUGCACGGCGAUGGUACUGCACCCGAGAGGAUGUGGGAGAGUAGCACGUCGCCGCUACC
Molecule: ribosomal RNA, 121 nt
Filed under: Bifidobacterium callitrichos
Lineage: Bacteria; Bacillati; Actinomycetota; Actinomycetes; Bifidobacteriales; Bifidobacteriaceae
Source: RNAcentral